CUUCUGCUUAUGGAAAACAAGAUAAAUUCCAACUGGUGCAUGGAGGCAUCAGGUGUUGGCCAGGAAGCCUUUGCCAGCUACAUCCAGCCUCAGAGUCAAAAGAGGAAUAAAUGGAAAACACAUUGAAGAGAGGAUUAUGUCCAUAUGGAGGAGGAUUGACAUCCAUUUCCAGACUGGGAAGAUGGAGUUAUACCAGCCAGUUUUCCUUUGGUUAUCCACCUAAGAUGCCUGUGCAGAUUCAACAGGGUGUUGACCUGGAUCUCUCAGAACAGCUCAUGGGGAGGAAAGACCCUCUGACACAAAACCACGUCACUGGAGAGGGAGCUGUAAUGUCAGGGAGGGCAUCUGGAAGAUCAAAGUGGGAAUAAACCAAUCACUCCAACCCUAUUAUUUCCGGCCUUUUGAAGCACAGCUCAUGAGUCUUAACAAGAAAAGACUUUUUGUGUAAAAUUCAGUAAAUUAAAAUAAAAACAACAAACCCAGACCAAACACGCACAGGCCUGUGGGGGAAAAGCUAGAAUUGAAUUUCCAUAACGCGGACCUUUCCCAGAAAAGCCAGCGCGGAUCAGCGUGAAAUGCAACACCACACAUCUGCGAGGGAGUCUGCCCAGCUCCUCCCAGCCUUUUCCAUUUUCAUCAUUUGCCAUCCUUUGAAACCUUCCACGAUGACAAUUCACCAGCACAGCCCAGCUCUGCCCCAGAGGGAGCUCUGGGACGCUGGGGCUGCCUGGAGUCAGGAGGAAG
Long non-coding RNA from Poecile atricapillus (Black-capped chickadee), 744 nucleotides. RefSeq lists it as uncharacterized. The record is from RefSeq and is a predicted model, not a curated record. The transcript has 3 exons. NCBI's taxonomy places the organism in Eukaryota, Metazoa, Chordata, Aves, Passeriformes, Paridae.